AUGCACCGAGCCCUCCCCGGCCCUGCUGGUGUCCAGCUCCUGCCGGAGGGCCAAGCGGGCGUGUGGCGACGUGGGCACCCCUGGGGCGCUGCCCCCCACGCUCUGCCCCGACCAUGGCCCCCAGCCCCCCCGGAAUUCCGGCAGGAAGGCGGCCAGCAAGGAGAAAAGUGGCAAAGCCCUGGAGGGGCUGUCGGGGGGCCGGGGGCCGGCGCUGGGGGACUCGGCCGGGCGGCGCGGAGGGUCCCUGCUCAGCUGGGCCGCCGUGGCACAGAGCAAGCGGAAGGCGGCGAACAAGGGCUCGGCCGUGCUCCAGAACCUCUUCCAGGUCAACGGCAGCGCCAAGAAGCUGCGGGCCAAGGAGACGCUGUUCCCGCUGCACCACCACCACCACCACCUCGCCGCCCCCGUCUUCGGCAACGCCUUCGGCGCCGACUCCUUCGGCCGCAUCGCCAGCUCCUACGGCUCCUUCGGCGCCGGCGCCGGGCUGGUGCUGCCCGCGGCCCAGAAGCUGCUGCGCUCCAAGAAAGCCGAGCGGCUGGAGGCCGAGGUGGGCAGGAGCGGGCGCAGGAAGGCGGCGGGCGGCGAGUUCCUGGUCAAGCUGGACCACGAAGGGGUGACGUCCCCCAAGAACAAGACGUGCAAGGCGCUGCUGUUGGCCGAGAAGGACUUCGGGGCCAGGCUGGAGCGGCCGCUGGGCAGCCACGGCUACGGGCACGCCGGGCUGGGCGGGCGGGAGCGCCGGGGCCGCGCGGCCGCGCACCCGCUGCCCGUGGGGCUGGCGCUGCGCAAGUACUCGGGGCACGGGGACUUCGCCCUGAACUGCGACAGCGACUGCCACAGCUCCUACUCGGACAUGGACGAGGACGAGGACGCGGCCGGGCUCGGCGCCGACGUCCCCUCGCGCUUCAUGACGCGCCUUUCCGUGUCCUCCUCUUCCUCGGGCUCCUCCACCUCGUCCAGCUCCGGCUCCAUCUCCACGUCCAGCCUGUGCUCCUCGGACAACGAGGACUCCUCCUACAGCUCGGAGGACGAGGACUCGGCGCUGCUGCUGCAGACCUGCCUGUCGCACCCGGUGCCGGCGCUGCUGGCGCAGCCGGACGCGCUGCGGCCCAAGGGCGCCGCGCCCCAGCGCUGCUUCCUGUCCAAGGCGGCCGCCGCCGGCCCCAAGGCCAAGCUCAAGCGCAAGGAUCCCCUCAGCUUCGCCAAAGCCAAAGAGUUCUCCCGGCGGCAGCGCCUGCCCUCGGUGGAAAACCGGCCAAAGAUCUCCGCCUUCCUGCCCGCCCGCCAGCUCUGGAGGUGGUCGGGGAACCCCACGCAGCGGCGCGGCAUGAAGGGCAAGGCGCGGAAGCUCUUCUACAAGGCCAUCGUGCGGGGCAAGGAGACGCUGCGCGUGGGCGACUGCGCCGUGUUCCUGUCGGCCGGGCGGCCCAACCUGCCCUACAUCGGCCGCAUCGAGAGCAUGUGGGAGUCCUGGGCCAGCAACAUGGUGGUCAAGGUCAAGUGGUUCUACCACCCCGAGGAGACCAAGCUGGGCAAGCGCCAGAGCGACGGCAAGAACGCGCUGUACCAGUCGUGCCACGAGGACGAGAACGACGUGCAGACCAUCUCGCACAAGUGCCAGGUGGUGGGGCGGGAGCACUACGAGCAGCUGACGCGCGGCCGCCGCUGCCAGGACCGCCAGGACCUCUAUUACCUGGCGGGCACCUACGACCCCACCACGGGGCGCCUGGUGACCGCCGACGGGGUGCCCAUCCUGUGCUGACCCCGGGGUGCCACCCUGUGCUGACCCCGGGGUGCCACCCUGUUCUGACCCCACCCAGCUCUGAUGCAAAGGGUGGCACCCACACACUGUGGGGACAUUGGGGGCACAUCAGGGGGACGUGUGGGGGGGCGGCUCCCCUACAAGCCAUAACUUUCCCUAGUACCUCUGACUGUUUGCCAGCAGGUGAAGCAGAAAUCAGGUGUGUUGUUCUAUUUAUUUUGCCCUGUAAAUAUUGUAUUUCUUCCGGGAAGUUUUAUGGAAAAGCGAGAAAGGAAAAAAAAACAAA
Long non-coding RNA from Junco hyemalis (dark-eyed junco), 2048 nucleotides. The record is from Ensembl. NCBI's taxonomy places the organism in Eukaryota, Metazoa, Chordata, Aves, Passeriformes, Passerellidae.